Long non-coding RNA from Notothenia coriiceps (black rockcod), 529 nucleotides. RefSeq lists it as uncharacterized. The record is from RefSeq and is a predicted model, not a curated record. The transcript has 3 exons. Lineage: Eukaryota; Metazoa; Chordata; Actinopteri; Perciformes; Nototheniidae.
AGUAACCGUGCAGCUCAUCAAGCGGAGAAAAACUGAAGGAAAUCAGACAGUCACCUCGGUCUGCUUCCCAUUGGAUCAAUCUUUGAUGAGACAGCUAAUGAUGCUAGUCGGCUAGUUAAGCUAGCAUACCGCUAACUCAAGGACCAGCUUAAACUUCUCGGAUGCCUGUUUCUGGUGAACCGUGCCAUGGUGACGUUAGAUCUGGUUGUUUUGGGAGUUGUGGGGAAAAAAGAUUGGAAAUAGAGAUCACACAUUUCCAUUUAUUCUAAUUUGGUUUGCAUAAAGCAAUGACAUGUUACGAGAGGCGCCAGUCACGGAAACACAAAUCGCUUUGGGACAGGUGACUAACACUCAUUUUCCUUUAGUGCGGUCUCAAUCCAGGGAGAUGUUCUUCCUGAGUGAGAGCCAUAAAAAACAAAUAUAGCUCCGUGCAAACAGAAAUCACAAUCCAGAGAGCAUCUUCUAAAACAGAUUUAUUCUUAAAAAUCUGACAAAAUGAAACUCCUUCUUCUGACUCUCUGCCUCCUGG